CUCCACUAUUCCCUGGGCAUUGUAUAGCUCAACAAGAGAAGUUCAGAAUUUGUCUCUCAAAAGCCAAAAGAAAAAAAAUGGGCAGAUCACACGUUCUAGUGCUACCAUAUCCAGCUCAAGGGCACGUUAACCCCUUAAUGCACUUUGCUCAGGGACUAGCCAAUCUUGGAUUCAAAGUCACUUUUGUUAACACACACUUUAAUCACAAGAGAGUGCUUGCUGCAAUGGUAGGCAGAAAUGAUCCUACAGGUUCAUGUGUUAAUUUGGUCUCAAUCCCAGAUGGGAUGGGUCUCGAGGAUGAUAGAAAUGACAUUGGUAAGUUAUGUGAGGCCAUAUUGAUCGCCAUGCCCAAAAGCCUUGAGGAGCUCAUACAAAACAUCAACAAGACCUUGGAGUUUGGUGAUCAACCUAUCACUUGUAUUGUUUCUGAUGCUUGUAUGGCGUGGUCAAGGGAAGUUGCAAACAAGUUGGGGAUUAGACUUGCUAUGGUUUGGCCUGCAUCAGCUGCCAUUUACUCCAUCCUAGCAAAUAUUCCUAAUCUCAUUCGUGAUGGAUACAUCGACGAUGAAGGUAAGUUCUUUCCUUAAUUGUGAUUACUAGAAAAUCUUCUUACUGAUAGUACUGCUAAAACUUUUCAUGAUUGUUUAAGCGUAUGUUAAACAAUAGCAUUGAUAAUCAUGGCUGACUGAUAGCAAAUUUCUAUGUGAAUUGACUGUUAAAAUUAAAACUAAUGUAAAAUCUUGAGAAUCGAUGAAAUUUUAAAAGCUUUGGUUAUAAUUAAAAAUGCAUAAAAAGAUUUUUAAUUUUUUUUUUCCAUUUCACCUUUUCCUUUGGGUUAAAUUUAUAGGAUUCUCAAUCAAGAAACAGAGAAUUCAAUUGUCCUUAAGCAUCCCUAGUUUUGACAUAGAAAACAUUCCUUGGAGACUUGGCGACUCAAACUCGCAAAAGGCUCUUUUUAAAUACCUCAAAAGAACCUUCGAACAUUCACAAUUGACAGAAUGGCAGAUGUGCAACUCAUUUUAUGAGAUUGAGCCUGGAGCAUUUUCCUUGGUUCCAAAGCUUCUCCCAGUUGGCCCAUUAUUAGCAAAUAACGAUGCAGGGCAUUCAGGAGCACAGUUCUGGCAAGAGGAUUCUUCAUGCUUGACAUGGCUUGAUCAACAGCCAUCCCAGUCAGUGAUAUAUGUAGCAUUUGGCAGCUUGACAAUCAUUGAUCAAAUCCAAUUUCAAGAACUAGCCCUUGGACUUCAACUCACAAACAAGCCUUUUCUAUGGGUGCUUCGUCCAGGAAACAACCAAGAAUCAAACCAUGUCCGCCCAAAUGAAUUUCAUGGCAGCCAUGGAAAAAUUGUGAGUUGGGCACCUCAACAGAAGGUUCUAAGUCAUCCGGCUAUUGCUUGUUUUGUGAGCCAUUGUGGUUGGAACUCUACCAUAGAAGGUGUGAGCAAUGGAGUACCUUUCUUGUGUUGGCCUCACUUUUUAGACCAGUUUCAUAACACGAACUACAUUUGUGAUUCAUGGAAGGUUGGUUUGGGAUUUGACAAGGAUGAAAGUGGAAUUAUAAGGAAGGAGGAAUUUAACAAGAAGGUGGAGCUCUUGCUUGGUGAUAAAAAUAUAAGAGAGAAAGCCUUUGAGUUGAAGCAAAUUGCCAGAAAUAAUAUUGGAGAAGGUGGUCAGAACUCAACAAAUUUUAGCAACUUCAUCAAGUGGCUAGAGGCAUAGGGUGCGGAUGCUUAAAACUCCAAAUUUUCUGCAAGUUGCAAGAAUUUAGUUUAUGUAUUCUGUUUGAAUUUAAAUUCUGAAAUCUAGUGGCAAAAAUAGGUAUGAUAUGUCUAAACUUGUACAACUAAUCUUUUUGAGUAAGGUGCUUCGUUCCAUUUUUAAUUGAUUAGUUAGAAACUAUAUAUUAUAUUUUGCUCUAUUAAAAAAACUGUAUUGUUGAAAGUAUGUAUGGAAGAAAAGGCAUAAAUCAAACUAAGGUGUCAAUAG
This 1986-nucleotide unclassified non-coding RNA is filed under the name Hevea brasiliensis (rubber tree). The record is from RNAcentral. Lineage: Eukaryota; Viridiplantae; Streptophyta; Magnoliopsida; Malpighiales; Euphorbiaceae.